This 569-nucleotide unclassified non-coding RNA is filed under the name uncultured Bordetella sp. RNAcentral describes it as "partial 16S-23S ribosomal RNA intergenic spacer". It matches the Rfam family "Bacterial small subunit ribosomal RNA", at positions 10 to 574 of the family's 1533-position model. The record is from RNAcentral. Lineage: Bacteria; Pseudomonadati; Pseudomonadota; Betaproteobacteria; Burkholderiales; Alcaligenaceae.
AGUUCGAUUAUGGCUCAGAUUGAACGCUGGCGGGAUGCUUUACACAUGCAAGUCGAACGGCAGCACGGACUUCGGUCUGGUGGCAGUGGCGAACGGGUGAGUAAUGUAUCGGAACGUGCCUAGUAGCGGGGGGUCGCUACGCGAAAGCGUAGCUAAUACCACAUACGCCCUUCGGGGAAAGCGGGGGACCUUCGGGCCUCGCACUAUUAUUGAAGCGGCCGAUAUCGGAUUAGCUAGUUGGUGGGGUAACGGCUCACCAAGGCGACGAUCCGUAGCUGGUUUGAGAGGACGACCAGCCACACUGGGACUGAGACACGGCCCAGACUCCACGGGAGGCAGCAGUGAAGGGAAUUUUUGGACAAUGGGGAAACCUGAUCCAGCCAUCCCGCGUGUGCGAUGAAGGCCUUCGGGUUGUAAAGCACUUUUGGCAGGAAAGAAACGGCACGGGAUAAUACCCCGUGCAGCCUGGCGGUACCUGCCGAAUAAGCACCGGUAACUACGUGCCAGCAGCCGCGGUAAUACGUAGGGUGCAGCGUUAAUCGGAAUUACUGGGCGUAAAGCGUGCGCAG